RNAcentral lists this long non-coding RNA (361 nucleotides) under Musa acuminata (dwarf banana). RNAcentral's name for it is "long non-coding RNA (MACU_LNC003242)". Lineage: Eukaryota; Viridiplantae; Streptophyta; Magnoliopsida; Zingiberales; Musaceae. The record is from RNAcentral.
GCUCUGGUGCAUGCUUCUGUUGAGAGAUGCAGUUUCUUUUCAGUGAUGCUGCAGCCUGUUUUGUAGAUCAGAAUACCUUCGUUUGUGUCACUGAGAAGAUCAAGCUGAGCUUGAACCUAAGCUUCCACAAUGGCACAGGAGAAAAAAGUUACUACUCUCUCAUUUUGUCACCUCAAAUAAUCCUGGAAGUCAGUUGGGUAAGCACUCUAACAAGAAACACUGAGUUGAUUGAGUUAGUCUAUUUUAUGGGCAGUUUAAUGUAAGUUUAUCUUUCAUGGUUUCAACAACUUGACUACAACACUUACAUCUCUGUUUAUAAUAUGCACUUGGCAGACAUCAACAGCAGCACACAAUAUGGUGA